Molecule: ribosomal RNA, 253 nt
Filed under: uncultured bacterium
Lineage: Bacteria
Description: partial 16S ribosomal RNA
Rfam family: Bacterial small subunit ribosomal RNA
Source: RNAcentral
UACGUAGGGGGCAAGCGUUGUCCGGAAUCAUUGGGCGUAAAGCGCGUGUAGGCGGCUGGGUAAGUCCGCUCUGAAAGCCCGGGGCUCAACCCCGGGAGGCGGGUGGAUACUGCUCAGCUCGAGUCCGGAAGAGGAGUGUGGAAUUCCUGGUGUAGCGGUGAAAUGCGCAGAUAUCAGGAGGAGCACCAAUGGCGAAGGCAGCACUCUGGGACGGUACUGACGCUGAGACGCGAAAGCGUGGGGAGCAAACAGG